GACGAACGCUGGCGGCGUGCUUAACACAUGCAAGUCGAACGGAAAGGCCCUGCUUUUGUGGGGUGCUCGAGUGGCGAACGGGUGAGUAACACGUCAGUAACCUGCCCUUGACUUUGGGAUAACUUCAGGAAACUGGGGCUAAUACCGGAUAGGAGCUCCUGCUGCAUGGUGGGGGUUGGAAAGUUUCGGCGGUUGGGGAUGGACUCGCGGCUUAUCAGCUUGUUGGUGGGGUAGUGGCUUACCAAGGCUUUGACGGGUAGCCGGCCUGAGAGGGUGACCGGCCACAUUGGGACUGAGAUACGGACCAGACUCCUACGGGAGGCAGCAGUGGGGAAUAUUGCACAAUGGGCGGAAGCCUGAUGCAGCAACGCCGCGUGCGGGAUGACGGCCUUCGGGUUGUAAACCGCUUUCGCCUGUGACGAAGCGUGAGUGACGGUAAUGGGUAAAGAAGCACCGGCUAACUACGUG
This 468-nucleotide ribosomal RNA is filed under the name uncultured bacterium. RNAcentral's name for it is "partial 16S ribosomal RNA". It matches the Rfam family "Bacterial small subunit ribosomal RNA", at positions 28 to 507 of the family's 1533-position model. The record is from RNAcentral.